RNAcentral lists this ribosomal RNA (593 nucleotides) under Fusarium sp. E24. Its description in RNAcentral is "eukaryotic LSU rRNA". The stretch from base 170 to 323 matches the Rfam family "5.8S ribosomal RNA". Lineage: Eukaryota; Fungi; Ascomycota; Sordariomycetes; Hypocreales; Nectriaceae. The record is from RNAcentral.
GUGAACAGCGGAGGGAUCAUUACCGAGUUUACAAUUCCCAAACCCCUGUGACAUACCAAUUGUUGCCUCGGCGGAUCAGCCCGCUCCCGGUAAAACGGGACGGGCCGCCAGAGGACCCCUAAACUCUGUUUCUAUAUGUAACUUCUGAGUAAAACCAUAAAUAAAUCAAAACUUUCAACAACGGAUCUCUUGGUUCUGGCAUCGAUGAAGAACGCAGCAAAAUGCGAUAAGUAAUGUGAAUUGCAGAAUUCAGUGAAUCAUCGAAUCUUUGAACGCACAUUGCGCCCGCCAGUAUUCUGGCGGGCAUGCCUGUUCGAGCGUCAUUUCAACCCUCAAGCCCAGCUUGGUGUUGGGACUCCCGAGUCAAAUCGCGUUCCCCAAAUUGAUUGGCGGUCACGUCGAGCUUCCAUAGCGUAGUAGUAAAACCCUCGUUACUGGAAAUCGUCGCGGCCACGCCGUUAAACCCCAACUUCUGAAUGUUGACCUCGGAUCAGGUAGGAAUACCCGCUGAACUUAAGCAUAUCAAAAGCGGGAGGAAAAGAAACCAACAGGGAUUGCCCUAGUAACGGCGAGUGAAGCGGCAACAGCUCAAA